GAGGUGCCGCCUGCCCAGUGACCCUUCCCCUCAACGGCCGCGGUAUUACUAACCGUGCAAAGGUAGCAUAAUCACUUGUCCCCUAAAUAGAGACUAGAAUGAAUGGCCAAAUGAGGGCCCAACUGUCUUUUAGGGUCAAUCAAUGAACCUGAUCUUUCAGUACAAAAGCUGAAAUAAACCCAUAAGACAAAAAGACCCUGUGGAGCUUCAAAUAAGGCGCAUAAAAUCAAUGCCCCUAUUUUAAGUUGGGGCGACUACGGAAUAAAACAAAACUUCCACGCAUAGGGCCACCACCCCAAAAAGAUUAACACAUCAAAAUGAUGCCAUCUUGACCCAGAUAGACUGAGUAACGAACCAAGUUACCCCAGGGAUAACAGCGCCAUCCUCUUCAAGAGCCCCUAUCACCAAGAGGGUUUACGACCUCGAUGUUGGAUCAGGGCCCCCAAGUGGUGCAGCCGCUACUUAAGGUUCGUUUGUUCAACGAUUAAUGCCCUACGUGAUCUGAGUUCAGACCGGA
Molecule: ribosomal RNA, 517 nt
Filed under: Chatogekko amazonicus
Lineage: Eukaryota; Metazoa; Chordata; Lepidosauria; Squamata; Sphaerodactylidae
Description: partial 16S ribosomal RNA
Rfam family: Bacterial large subunit ribosomal RNA
Source: RNAcentral